UUUUUUUUUUUUUUUUUUUUUUUGCUCAGUUUAUUUUACAUGAGUCGACUCGUGGGGACAGAUUUUCAGAAGAUUAUAUGCAAGCAUGUGCAGCACGCUGCACGCACGUCAACCUGUGGAGGGAAAACUUGACGUUGGGCCGUACCAAGGGUCCAUCUGACAACGUACUUACAUUUCGUCAAAUAUAUUUUUUAUUUUUUAUUUUAAAAAUAAUGACUUCACACCCUUGCAAAAUCAAAGAAAUAAAAUUUAAUUUCAACCUAAAUUUUAGGCCACUUUUUACACUAAAUUUAUCACAUGAUCCAUACAUAGUUAUUUUUUUCUCUAUAAAAGGUAUAAUUUGGCUUAACUCAUAUUCAUUUUUACCUCUAAAAAAGUAAGAUUUAAUCCGAAUCAUAUUCAUUUUUUUCUUAAAAAAAAAAAAGAAAUCAAAACAAUUCAUAUUUAUUUUUAUCACUAAAAAAGAGGGAUCUAACAUGUUGUAUAUGAAAAAUAACUGCAUGCGAAUUAAAAAGAUGACGUGAUUUUACGCUAAAAAGUGACUGAAAACCUAUAUUGGAAACAAAUUUUAUUGACUUAAUUUUGUAUAAGAUAUAAAGUUACUCUCUUAAGAGUAGAGAACGAAAAAAUUCAUUUGAUAAAAUAUAACGAGCAUUUUGAACGAUUUUCCUAACUAAAAAAAAAAAACCUACAUGGACCCCGCGCUUUUACAGAAACUCAUAUUUGCAUAAUCACGCGUGACACUGACCUUAAACCUGAAUCAACUUGAUACAGUCAGCCUUCGGUUUUCCCUUCCGCUAUGGAGUUGACCCCGAGAAGAAAAAAGUCUUCCAGUGUUCAGGUUGGAAGCGGCAGGAGCAUGGCUACCUUCCCAUUGUUCUGACUGCCAACCUAAGCGAGAGUCAGAGAGGGCUUUGCUUGCGUCCAUAUUAUUUUCCCACGAUCGUUGUAGCAAAUUCCGUGGCCACUACUGAAAUACGAUAAGAAAAGCCACGGUCAAAUAAAGUUCAGAUUAGUCGAGAUUCCCACCGAAAGAGGGCUCUGCAUGUCUGCUUCAUAUUCAGAUUUAACAGGACCCUCCACAGCCUGCAGUAAUGUUUCAAUCACAGUAAACAAGACUCACCAAUACCGUAUAUAUAUAGUCAUAUGUAACUCAGGAACUCUUUGUAAGUACCGAAUGCCACGGUCUGCAAGUGUCAAAUUCAAGAGGAAUACCGAGAUUUUGCAAUUAGUGCAGAAAGCCGGUUGCUAGGUCAAAUGCGUGUCAAAACCGAUGCAUUCCAACUAAGCUACAAAAAUCAACGAGAGAUGUAGCCUAAGAAGUGGAUUCUUUCUCGUUGUAAGGCUGCAAACCACAUUCAAGCCUGAUCGCUGACAUAAGAUCGUGAGGUAUAGCAUGCGGAGUCCUACCCUCUCUGCCUGAAAAAGUAUCUCGAAUCUGUAGUACUUUCCCGGCUACCAUGGGUAGUUGGCUCUCCUGCUCCCCAACCCCUAUACAGUAUGACUUUACUUGGUUCUUGAGACACCAGCACAGCCCCAGUGGCUUGCUGUGAGGUUAACAGGAGUUAAAAACAGCCUCAAAACAACGAUUUAAUCAAAGCAAAUAUUAGCAAACAUCAGAAAUGAUUUCUGUAAAUUUCUGAAGUUAAAUUUAUCUCAAAGCUCAUUGCCGCAGAUACUUAAAACGGAUUUCAAUCACAAACCUCCAGCUUGAAGACCACCUCCUGGACAGAAGUCCCUUUGGCUCUGCUUUUACAUUCACUAUAGCAAGAGGGUACUUUUGGAAGCGGACCUUGAUUGCUUCAGCAAGUCCACUAACCUUGUUGCUCUUCCCUAAGAAAUAAGACCAUUUGUAAAAUACUUUAUGUUACCCAGCCAAACAGGUGAAACAGUUAAAAACAAACCUUCCAUCUCAAUCAAAAUAUAAAAGACUGCUACUUCUGUCUAUCUAUUGCGUCAUUUAGAAAGAAAAUUGCCUCAAGAAUUAUUUAGAACAGUUUGGCAGUGUAUUCAUGAGCAUUUACAAUUUCAAUAUACUAUUUCCAAUUCUUUAUUGGUCUACAGCUUUUCAGAAUAGCAUAUGCUGGACUCUUACACUGAUGAAAAACUAGUUAUCCACAUAAUGCUACAUUACGAGAUUCAUAUUUCUGAACACGUGUGUUCUAGAGUAGCCAGAAACCAAACUUGAGUGUCCAGAAACUACAGUCAAUCACAAAAUGGCAGAAUGUAAUCCACAGAGACAAAAAAAUGUCCAAACAACCAACGUGCAACAAGGUUUCACAACAUAAGGAACUGAACUAUAGGAGUCCCAGAACCACGGCCAAUGACAAAAUGACAGAAUGUGAUCCACAGAGACAACAAAUAUCCCGCAACUAACAUACGACAAAGUUUCACAACAAAAGGAACUAUAUCAGAAAUCCACAUGUUGGUGGCUGGAAAAGGGCCAAAUUUGUCUCAUCCAACAUGUAAAACAACAUUACUCUUGAAAUAGGGGUUUAUAGCAGAAUAUUAAAUCAAGAAAGAUACAAAAUAUAUUCGUAUUACCUAUGGCAAACACAUGAUGCUUUUUCAUCUUCAGCGCUUGUUUCCGCAAAAGUAGCCUGUCUCUAUUGGAGAGGCUUUUAGCUCUAACAAGUAUUGCAUUGCAGCCACUUUCCUUAACUACAUGAACUGAUGAAUCUAGCUCAGUUUUCAUGGAUCAGCAGGGAAUGCAUAGCUUUGGUGCCACCAAGUUUAGCCUCCAUAGUACCAAUAGCGGAAGUGCGUGUCACACCAAGUGUCUAAGAUAAAAGAAAAAAACAUUCAUAGAAGAUUAAUUAGGCUUGUACAACUCGACUCGAUUUAUUGACAGAAAAGGGAAUCAGGAGAAGAUGAGGGUGGCACAUUUCCACGAAUUCAAAAGAUCUUUAGCUUCUUUACUUGUACCUUUUCCCAUUUCAUUUAGAUAAAGGUUCUGCAUCUGCAUUAUCAAACUCAUAGCAAUGUUUUCAAAGUCAUCACUCAUAAAUUCCAUGUCACACAGUAUGCAGAGAGUUUGUUCAGCGAUUCAAUCCUAUAGUUCUGGUUAUGAAAAGAAACUAAAAUGAUGAAGGGAAAAAAAUUAUUGUGCACUAGGAAAUAUUUUAUAUUAAAAAGAAACGUAAUUAACAACAAUAUGGCCUACACUUCACACAUCCUGGGUGCAUGACACUGAAAUUGACUGACUUGGCAGCAGUACAAAUUAAGCUGCACUGAAAUUGCUGUAACCAUUAAAUAUGCUUGAACCUUCUGGAGAAAUUUUUUUUUUUUUUUUUAAAUUUAGCCUCUCUAGUUUAAUGCAGCACGAAUUCUCAUAUAAGUCCUUUACCUAAAGUAAGUGUUUUAUAUUUGUCAUACAACAAUUUCAGAUUCCAAAGCCAGUGAAACAAUCCAUUAGAUAGAUGAGCAUGAGGUUGACACACACUGGAUUAGCAUGGCCUUGGAUGAUGACAAAAAAUAUAUAGCUCAUUCCAAAACUCAAAAAGAGAAGGGAUCCUUUUUACCUGUUCAUUAUAAUGGCUCGUUGACAAUGAUUGGGGAGAGAGUUCAGGACUAGCAAGGGACAUUUUAUUUUUUGAUGAAUGGAACUUGUCUGGCUCCUGCUCUUCGUCCUGGAUCAUGAUUAAACUGCAUAUAUUAGCCCAGAUUUUGAAAUAAUCUUGCAACGGAAGAACAGUAUAAUGAGAUCUGAAAGGAAAUUCACCAAUUUGAGUUUUAAUUCUUCAGCCAAGUCCGUCUUGUUUGUACCCUUUUCUUUGGCCUGGAUCAAAUGAAUGAUAUGUAAUUUCCACCAGAAUACAGUCUAUUAGCUGCAGAAAACAAAUUAAGGCUCUGAAAUAAGAUAACCCACCAAUUGAAGCUUCAACCGAUCUAUAUUCUGUGUAAGCUUCAAAACAUGUAAUUUGAGAGACUGCAAUUCAUGCAAAGAGAAUAUGUGAGGCACAACGAGCAAUACUCAUAAUCAAAAUACUUGAUAACAAAAAAGCUGUGUUAACAGUGUCCUGUACCACCAUAGAAAAUUAAAGGAAGGAUAAUUUGGAAUAGUUUCGUGCUUUGUCUCACUACAUAUACAAAUGGAUGAAAUGAAAACCAGGGGAUAAACACAAACUUGACCUCACGACGUUGUGCCUCUAAAGAACGUUCAUUGCUUCUCUUUUGCUUAGAAGCGAACGAGGCCUCAAACAAGCAGGGCGACUGUAGUUCUUUCCACGAUAUACAAUGAUAGCAAAACUUUGCUAACCCGUUCAACUGCUACUAAAAUUCCGCCACUUUCUGCCUCCAGUGUUCGUGCUCUUGCAGUGACCUCCUCAAUACUUCUUCCCCCGGUUAUAAUCUUCACUAAUUCUCUGUAUUUCCAGUGAAGAUGCAUAUUUUCGAUUGUUCCAUCAAAUACUCCUCGUCUUCCUGAGCAUGAAAGAGAGAAAUUUACAAGGAUGACAUGAGGCCAGAAACACACACUUUUGGCUUGCCAAUGUCAUUCUUCAUCAUAGGGUGUAGUAAGCAAGCACUUCCUUUAGCACUUACCCAGAAGCAGGAAAGGUUUCAUUCUCAAGCCAAUUUUUCUCAGCAUAUAUCGUUCUUCUUCUGUAAUACCUUCUUUAUCAACUUCUGGCUCUUGGGUGGUCUCUUCCUUCUCCAGCUCUACAAGAAGCUUCUCUGCCAUGUCUUUCUUCACUAGUGCCUGUAAGGCUGUAAAAGAUUAACAUGUUUGGGAAAAUAGACAAGUGACUGGAACAGAUUUUGAGGUAGUAUUACAUAACAUGCCUUGGAUAAUUUGGCACUAGUUCUCUCAAUUGCUGCUUCUGUUGAGCUUCGAUGCCUUCGCUUGGAGCAAGUUCAAGUUUCUGGUCCUCUUUACCAUUAUUUUCAUCUCCAUUACAAUUUUCUGAGGUCCCCAGCCUUUGGUCUUUUGAGCUCACUGUAGUAAAACUUUUGUCUGCUCCCUUUUCUUCACCAUCAAGCACAUAGUUCCUCCGCUUUUCAAUUGCUAAAGAGACUGCAGCUGGCAAGAAAUCCUUUCCUCUGUACAGGACAAUGAAUUCCUUAUCUCUUGAAAGCAAGGUUCCCCCAGUUAGGUUCUGCAAGAGUAUAGUUUCAAGUAAAUAUAUGUCAGUGCAGAAGAGUUACUGGCAGUUACAUGUUAGUCCCCUGAUAAAACAGAGCCUAGACAGGAACGACAGAAGAUCUCUUAAACCCAUCUAGCAGACCUUUAGUUCCUCAGCCAUCAAUUCACUGUUGGUGUUCUGGACUCCUCUUUUAACAGCAAUUUUGGCAAUUUCACAUUUCUCCCAUAGCUUAAUAAUUGCAGCAGCCAAGCCCUGAAGUUUUCUAUUUCUGCCUGAAACAAAGGAAAUCGGUAUAAGUAAUAAACUUUGACUAGUAACUAUGCAAUGCUUCCCAAUUUACAAAUCACUCACCUAGGGCAAAAUGGCAUGGUAAAGGCCGACCAAGUCUCCGUAAAAAUGUCAUUUCAUCAUUUGUUAAUAUAGGUUUCACUCCAUAAGGAAGCAGACGAAAUGGUCUCCUAUAUCCAGGAACUGCUGCUGGUAAAAAAUCAGCAUCAACAGGUAAAGGUUCAUACCCCACCAAUCAGUAAACCGGGGACCAAGUCCUUCUAACAGGCGAUCAGCCUCUUCAGCAAGUUGUGCCUCACCAGGCAGUUGGAAUCGUACUCUAUUUGGAGUUCCUACACCUUGUAUUAGAGGUGGAUGAGACACUUUGCUGAGUGACUUAGGUACAGAAGAUCUCAGGGCAUUCCCACCAGAUGAAGAAGCCUUCUUUUCAUUAUCCUCUCUGUAAUCCAUCCGAAAAUCAACUGAAGCUUCUUCACGCAAAGAGCCAUUUGCUGUAUUAUCAUCAGAAAAGAAAUAGGGUACUUGUAAUCAGCUCCUCUGUAUAGCACUAUGUUAGUUCCAGAUCUCCAAACUACUAAGCCUCCAGUCUUCAUCUGGUAAUCCAAAUCACCACACCACACCCAAAAGAAGGAAAACAGGUCAGAUUACGUAACGUUGCAGAGGAAGAAACACAAUUGAAGUGAAUUAUGGACUUCUGAUAGUAAGUACCAAUAACUGUUAAAAAAGACCAUUUGCAGUUAAAUAUGCUUCAGCACAUACCAUGAAGUCAAGCCAUAGUAAAUGCAAACUAAUAAUGGGCACGUAAUAGGACAUGAAAAUCUCAUUAAAACCCAAAUAUUACUGGACAAAUUUGCCUUACAAUAUGUCGUUUGAAGGGUUCAAAUAUAACUAGCAGCUGUUUUUCACAAAGUGGUUAGAGAAACAACUUCAAGCGUAACUAGCAGCUCUACUUAAACUUGAUCUUCAAACAAAGUUUUUACAUUGGAAGCAAGAUAUGCGAAUGUAACUACAAUCAACAUACAAUUGUAGAAUUGGGGAAAAAAAAGGACAUUAACAAUGAGAUCUUACCUCUAACAACUCAUGAGUCCUCUUCAUAUUCAUCCUACAGAUAUCCUCACACCUGAUCUUGACCACCUCAUACCUCCUCCACCUCUCGUGAAUCCCAUUCACAAUCCCUUCCGUGAUCCCGGCCUUCCCAACCUUCAACUUCUUCUGCAACCGAAUACCAAGUGUCCUCAGCCUCCUCAGCUCCCCUCCGGCAAAUUGAGCUCCGCCAAGGUGGGCACUGUCUCCCUUUUCUUCCUCUCCUCAAUCCUCUCCUUAAUCACGCCCCUCCUCAACUGGUGAUACUUCUGAAUCGCAUUCCCCGAGCCGGGUAAGGGGACGGGUUCUGGGGCGUGCUCCAACUCGGGUCAAGAGUGUGCCCGACCCGGUACUUCGGCAACUGGGAAGGCAACGGAACAAAGAUUUCGCCCGGCGAGGCCCAUUCUUUGGAAGCUUAUCUUCAUCUUUGUUCUCAUCCUUAUCAUCUUCGACGUAGCCGAGGCCGCGAAGCUUUUCGGCAAUCCUUUGGAUGGCGGAUUGGGGUAGAGUUUCAGUGUCGCCAGUGGCAGUGGCAAUGGCAGUGGCGGUGGCUCGGCAGAAGAGCGGUUUCGGAGGAGAGACGCCGUACGUGGUAGGUGGGUUUGGGAAGGUGACGGAGGAAGGUAGAAAGGGGUUAAGGAGGGGUUUGGAUUUGGCGGGGGAAGUAAGUAGAAUUGAUGGUUGCCUGUAUAUAGGGCCAUUUGGAGUAGCAGGACACUAAGCCGUUAACGAGUUCUUGAGGUUGGAAUGCAAUAAGCUUUUUAUCGGCUCACCAGCCAUUGCCAUUGCAGGACCGAUAUCUCUACGGCAAUAACUUUUUAAGUUCUCUGUAUAUUAUCCGGUUGAAUAUUUCAUUUUCAGGCGUUUUCUAUAUCUCCUCUCCGAAUGUCUCCGCCAGAUUUUCAAAAAAUUUGGUAAGUGAGAAGUCUUAUUUUAUAAUUCUAACGUUUCCGGAAAAAAAAAAAGAGAAGUCUUAUUUUAUAAGCCGACAAUCAGAACUACAAAAUAUGUGUGUUAUUAUCGUGUUCAUAUCUAUAAUUAAAAUUCUUUCCAUUAUCACUUGAAUAAACAUACACAUAUGCAGCGAUAUGGAUUAAGAUUUAAGAUUAAUCUUUCCUACACUGCACUGACCGUCAGUAUUAGAUGGAUGAUAACUAUACAAAAUUUGAAUUUAAAAUUUAACUUUUAUAUACAUGUCAUUAAUCUAAUAGUGAUAGUACAUGCGCUGUCAGUGUAUAUAAGAUUUACUCGAAAAUUUAGAAAGAGAUAUAAUUAGACAGAGCAGUUGUUUGACAACAGGCAACACCAAAACUCGAAAAAUCAGUUUAAAUAUGAUAAAUAAUCAGGAAACACAUCACUACUCAAAAUUUUCUAGCAAUUAUGAAAAGUUGUUUGAUACGACUGAAUAAUAAAUAAAUAAGGUUGCUUUAAUAACAGCAAACUUUUGAAUUACCACAUUGCCAUUUUCUAGUAUUUUUCACAGUCCCAAGUUACCAACAAUCUCGGUACAAUUAAAUGGGUUAAUUACAAAUCAGAGGGGGCCAAAGACCCACAAAAGUGAGCACUUAAACGCAGAUGUAUAAUAGACAUAGAAAUCCCAAAUUUUCAAUUUUUUUGGUGUUAUCCACAGCUAAAUUUAAAAUUGCAAUGUCGCAACAUUUUUAGCUGUUAAAAUUAUCCUGCCAGCCAACCGUUUAGAUGUCGGUUAAAAGUAACCUGGCGCGGCAGUAUGUAAAAACAUGUGGGGCCGCAAAUAUAUCUAUAGCUAUUUGGCAGCAAACAAAAUGGUUGGAGUUGAAAAGAAAUGUUCUCUUAUUUUUGCUUUUGUGCAUGCAAUAUUGCCAUCUAUCAACACUAGAAAUGCAAUUCUUUCCUCUGAUAUUCAUUCUAUUUCCCAAGACAAUGGGCAGAUGCACAUUGUUAAUUUACAGGAUCGUACGUAACACAUUUACAAAUGAAUUGGGAACCGGUGUACAGAAGAUCCACCCAGAAACUGAACGCUUUCAGCACAGCCAAACCGAUCGGAUCAGGCCAUUAUUAAGCAGAUAACUACUCAUCAGAAACUGAACGUGACUUUAUUCCUGCAAAUGCAAGAAAUCCAUGCUCAAAAUCAACUGAUAAAGAAGACAAUCACUCGCUCUCAUAUCCUAUGGGGCUAUUUCAUAUAAAGGAUUUCUUUUGCAAGAUGGAAGCACUUGAAGGCAAUCAUAUUUAUGAUCAAACACUCACAUGUCAGCUUGCAAAUAUUGCUCCACAGUGAGAGGUUUAGGGCCGCCGAACCAAUUGAUCAUAAAUAUAUCAUAAAUUUCCAGCUCGAAGAACUGGAAAUUAUGACCCUUAGGCCAGCCUGCAUACCAUUCAAUUAAAACACAAUUUGCAGGUAGUUCUCACGAACAAAAGCAAUACAGCAGCAGGAUAAAGAUUUUCAAGGCCAAACUAAGUAAAGCACAAGGACAACGCUGUUUCAAACAUUUAUAAAGAAAAAACAAGCUUGCCUGUCAUUUCAGGGUGCUUAGUGAACAGCGCAGUUUGAGCAAGCUCAGCUUCCUUGGAAUUUCCGUCAAGUAAUGUCAACUACACACCACAAACGCAAAGGUUAAGUCAGGAUGAAACUGAACGAUGAAUGUCAUACAAGUGAGAAAGGCAUUACAAUACAACAGCACACCAGAUAACACAGCCAUAUUGUAAAUUCAAGUGAGAAAGGCCUCCUAGGAAUUAGUAAAGCCACCAGGUCUAAUAAGUUCAAAAUUUUCAGUUAAUUGAGCUAUUACCUUCCCUACAAGUGUAAUUUUUGCCAAGAAGGGUUCAGGGUCCUUGGUACCACAAGUCCGAUGGAUGUUCACUAAUUGUUAAGGAAGAUCUUUGGUCUUUCAAAGCAUAACGUGCUGUUGGAUCAAGUGUCGUCAAAUAGAAAUAUGGGAUGCCACUUCCUUUGUCUGGUUGCCCAUCACUAAAUGAACCACAUUUGUGGACAAUACAGACAAGUCAAUUUAUGACCACAAGGAAAAACAGAAAAAGGAUUAAAAAUAAAAUAAAAUUGCGUAUCAGGAGACCAAUAAUAACUUGUAUCUGAAAAGAAAACAAGAAGUUGAAACCAAGCUUUUAAAGCUCUGUUAAGCGCAUUUCAGUACAUGACACAAUGUUCUGCAUUGUGCCAACCAGAAGUUUACUCAGGUUAGACGAUGCGACCAACUCAACUCAAUCAGGACACAGCAACACACACUUCCUUCCAGGCUAAUAGAAGAGUUGCAACCCUUAGAAAAGUCUUUAAACAAUAAGUCUAAUCUCAACAAGAAGUUGGGAAAGUACAAGUCAAUUUUUAGCAUAGUAUUUAAACUCCAGAUAAUCUCAUAAAAGUGACAAUCAAAGUGAAGAAGUUUCCACGUGUAAAAGCAGAUUCUUUUCUAUUCAUGACAAUCCUCAGAUGACAUAACGAAGCAUCAGGUUUAACCUACCACAAUCAUCACUAGAUCAGAUCAGAGAUUUCUUUCGCCUCAAAAUUUCUUCUGUACAAAUAUCACAAUUUCUUGCAAGAAAUUACUUGUACACAGUCGCCAAAUAAGGAGGUAGAAAGCAAUAUUAUAUGACAGAUCAUACCCAAAAGGUGCUCCUCCCAAAUCACUGGCUAUGGUACUGCAAAAAAAAUAGGAGGGAGUAAGAUAAGAUCAUCUUCAACGUCUGUUUAGACAAUAUUUAAGAUCAACAGUAAUGAAAGAGGAGUUAUCACUUGCCUAACAUGAAAACUUCAAACGGGUAAACACGUAUAUUAAACAACGAAAAACUAUUUGGUUCAGUUUCUUAUCAUCAUUUCAAAUUUAUACCAGUAAACCAAUGUUCUUGACAUCUUUGCAAGCUUCAUCCACAUAGUUGUCCACCAAUUUGACCUUUGCAUUGGAACUCGCAUAAGUAACAGCAAUCGAUGCUUAACAGGAAAUACAACUUUUUUCUCCAUCAAAAAUGUUCUCCACGAUUUUUUACUAUACUAUGAGGGGGUGUUCGUGUCUUGAUCAAAAGGCUUUCCUUUUCAAUCUUUUGCUCUCCUCAAAAGGUGAUAAUGUGAUGUUCAGAUACUUGCAUUACCUCUACAGUUUACGUAUAUGUGAAGAAUUUUCAGCUAAAACGCUGUUUAAAGUGAUCCUUCCUGACCCAGCCAGUUCUUGGUAAGGUAGCAUUUAUUGCAUAUGAUGAAGUAAACAAUGGCCUGCUGUGACUCUUGCCGGUUGAGAAGUAAGUUUGGUAAGGAAAACAGUCUUAAAUCUUCACCUCUUACAAUCAAUAGAAGCAAAAACACAUAAGAUGUGAGCCCUGGCAAUUUGAAGCUUUUACAAAUUGUCGGCAAUUACAUGAAAAUUUCCCAAGUACUGAUAUACAAUUCCAAAGCAUUUUGGAAUUAAAAGGAGCCUUUCGUUUAUGUUACCCUAUAAUUGUAAAAUUAGUGACAGCCAAAUUAUUCAAGUCUGAUGUGAGUUGAAUCAGUCAAAAACAACACAAAGCAUCUUCAAAAGGUCAAAAUUAAAAUAAACCGAAAACAACUAGCAUAAUCCCCAUAGGGAUGUGCAAAUCCCCAACAAAAAAACAUCAUAACGACUUCUGAGGAAUGGGAGAUGGGAAUUGCAACCACAUCCGAAAAAAGUUCCAGGCAGCAAAAUUUGAAGGACGCAUUCGUUAACUAAGACAGAUUGAUAGAUAUAAUAGAUAUUAGACCUUAGAACACCCCAGGAGCUCUGGCAGACCAACCAACGAGCGAAAGCAGCAGUGUCCUUCGGGCUGGGCCUGGUUACCGCUGUGAGUUGUUGCAGUUGCAGAGGCCGUCCCAGUACGGCUUUCUGAAGCAAUACCACCACCACCAAGAGCAGCACCACUCCAUGGCAUUGACCCCUCUUUGUACUCCCUUCAUUCCUAUUUAACUUUCAAGGGGAAAAGGGCAAAAAUAAACUGAAAAGCAACGCCAGUAAUAACCAAAGGAGAUGAUUGAAUGACGAUGGAAUAUAUGUGGUUAUUAUAGCUGCCGUAUGGAGACAGGCACAGCAAUUAUCAAUUACUAUGCCAAUAAUUCCUCUAUUUAAUUUAAUUUAUCCAUUAAAACGAAAACAAACACUUAUUUCUUUUUCAUCUUUCGGAUUCUACAUCUUUUUUUCACGAGUAUCAAAAAAGAUGGUGGCACCAUCAAUGAUCAAUCAAAGAGGAAUGGGCGCGGACUCGGGGGUGGGUGCUGUUUUGAUUCCUAUCCAACUGGUGGUGCAAUGAUAGAAGAAGACUUUUGGAUAAGAUGUUCCCUUUGUCUUUUUCUUUUUCUUUUUCUUUUUUUCACGCUGCACUCGCUCCUACUUUACUGUAUACUAAGAAGAGGGAUGAAUUAGAUUUUAUGCUAGACUCACUCCUAAUUUACUCUACACGAGGGCGGGGGUGGCUGAAUCGCCACUGGUCCAGUCCAGAUGGGUAACCACUUACCCGCCGGUGAAAUUUCAAAAAAUUCUGAAUUAAAUGUAGGUCAAAAGAUUUAACCUCUUGAUUGAUAAGAUGCUCAUUUGUCGAGAAUUUUUUUGCUGUUUGUUUCUAAGUAGUGCAGCACCCAUCUCCUUAUGCUACUUGCGGUAAAUUAGUACUCAUUUGGUUUAGGAAUUUGAUUAUAGUUAGAGCUAAUAGUCUCAUUUGACACACAAUUCUUCUUUUGGAUUCAUCUAUUUUUCAAAAAUAAGUUUUUCAAAUACAAUAUUACAAUAAUAUACAAACAAAAACAAUUCAAAACAUAUUUCAUUCAUACAAUAUAUUAAAUAUUUCAAAAAAUAUCUAUAGUAAAAGUUUUUCAUAUACACUGUUACAGUAAAAUAUUUCAAAAAUAUCCUAAAAAAAUAAUUAAUCCAAACGGAUAUGAUACUGUAAUUUGGAAAAAAAAAAUUCACAUAUUAUUGUAUUUGUAUCAUAAACAUAGCUUUCAAUAACUUUUUUGUCUCAUGUAAUCACAUCACAUCACAAAAAAAUGGUACAAUGCUAUUCUAAAUAAUUUUUCCCCAAAUAAUCUUCUAUCCAAACACUUUUUUUACUUUUUUAUUGAUUUUGUUACAACAAAAUAUUUUAUUUUUCUCAACUAAUGAGCAUUGGUUAAUAUGACAAAGUUAAGUUAAAUCAACAAAUUAUCUAAAUACAAGGGCAGUAAAUAUAAUGUGAAGUAAAAUGGUAAAUUUGAUAUAAAUAUAGAUUUACCGGAAUGGCAGUUAAAAGUUCACCUUUUAUAAGAAUAAGAUUAGCAGUUACAACAGCUUAUCUCACUUAAAUGAUUUUGUUUGUUUUGAGUACUUGUGACUUGUAACUGGAUAGAAAAUAAAAAAGAAGUUUUAUUUAAUAAAUCUACUCUCUAAUUCACUUAUAAUAAAUUCCUCAUCAUACCAAGUUAUAGCCAUUUAUUAAUUGAACAAACCCAAGUCUAGUAUGUAUUAGGGUCUGUAUAGAUUAAAUAUAUUUAAGGGUGUUUCUUGAAAAUUUUUACUAUAAUUUUGUGUAUUAAAAACUUUCACUGUAGAUAUAUUUUGAGAGUGAUUUUAAAUUUUAAAACUUCUAUUUAGGUGUUUUAAAAAAUUCCAUUCAUCCUUCCUACCAUAAUGCCUUAUACCCCCUAUCUAAACCCCUCCCUUGUAAAACCCCUUCCCUUCUCCUUAUUUCAUUUUCCUUUUCCACCUCUCCUCUCUCUUUUCCUAUCUUACUAUAUCCCCUCCUUCCUUCCCUCCCCUUCUUUCUCCUCUUUUCCCUCAUACCAUUUCUCCUUUUGUCGCAAAGAAAUGUGGGAUAUAAAAGAAAGAAAGGCAUGAGGAAGGAAAAAUGAGGAAAGAGUGGACAAAAACAUAGGGAAAGGAAUCGGAGGACCAAAACGAGAGAAAGGAGAGAAAGGGGAAAAAAAUAGGGCGGAAAAAGGGGGUAGAGUAGUGGUAGAGAAGGAGGAAGUAGAAUAGAAAAGGGAAAAAAAAGGGUUAAAGGAGUGAAGGGAUGAUGGUGGUGGAGGCGCGGCGAGGAGGCAUUAAAGGAAAAAAAAAUAGAUAGUGAGUUUUUUCAAUUGUUUUCUUAGUAUUUGUAGUAAGUGUAUUUGAGAUGUAUAUAGAGUUUUUUGUGUGUGUCUUAUUGUAAUAUCACAUUUGAAAUAUUAUGUUAAGAAAAAAAAAGCAAAUCCAUAAAAGACAUUUAGAAAUAUUGCAUAUAAUUUUCUUCAAUUCGAAUGGAAUACUAUAUAGAUUAAGUAAAUCUCAAUAUCUAUACUCCAAUUAAAAUUUUCCAUAUAGAUUUUUUCCUUCUUAAAGCACUAUGAGUAUUUUUAAAAUAUGAAAGCAAUUCUAUCUUUCAUAUGAUAUAGUUGAUGUAUACGUAUUUAUUAUUAUUAUUAUUAUUUUUGUUGGAUGAUAUGAGUCUACCUAAAAGACGAAAAAAUGUGUUUUUCAAUUCUCUGUCUAUUUUUUAGAGUAUAUUAACAUGAUAAGUUAGGUGUAAUACUUAGAUGUCUUAACGAGUGUUAUAAGGUCACCCACUAAAAAAGUCAUUUUUACAUAGCAUGCUUAGUUUAAGCCCUUCACAAUUUCACCAAUGUGUCAAGAAUAAUACCUUAUUGUGUGUAUAUAGGUUAUGGAGAGUAAUUAUGAUAGCUUGGCAUUGCUCUGAAUUAUAGGACUCGUUAGGCAUAAUGGAUAAUCUAGUAUUUAAAAUCUCUAGAAAUAUUUCCCACUUAGCCUUAUCUUUGACAAUUUCUAGUAUUUAAACAUCCAAAAAAUGGCAAUCAGUGACAUUCAGUUUAGUUUCCACACCUUCCCAAAUGGGGAUGAUAUUUGCAAUUACAAGCUUAUAACAUAACAAGCGAUUUAAGCUGCAACCUCAUUUUUGUAUUAAAAAUCUCUCUCGUACAUAUAGAAAAUAUUUUGGAGUAAUCUCCAAAAUCAACGACCAACAAGUUGGUCAUAAUGAAAAGAGCACAUUUUUAGUCAUAAAAAUUUUACUAAGUCUAUCAAAGUAGAGAUAUAAAUGUAAAAUCAAAAUUUGCAUAAUUCAAAAGAUAAGAAAGGGUCUUCAACCUAGGGUUGCAAACGAGUCGAGCUCGAACUCGAACUCAAAAUAUUAAGCUUGUUAGCUCGCGAGUCGGCUCGCGAGCUCGAGUAUAUAUAUAUAAUAUAUAUUUUUUUUUAAUUUUAAGUAUAUAUAUAUUUUUAAAUUUUAAGUAUAUAUAUUUUUUUAUUUUCUUAUUUUAAUAGUAAAAUUAUAUAUAUCCUUAAUAUUUUAUUAUUUAUUAAGAAAAAAUAUUAUAUUAUUUAUUUUUUAAAAAAUAAAAUAAUUAUUUUUUUCGAGCUCGACUCGAAUCGAUUCGAGUCGAACUCGAGCUUUCAAUUUGCUGGCUCGUCAAACUCGAGUUCGAGUUUGAGUUUGGUAAAAUUUAGUCGAGACUUGGCUCAAUUAACCCAAAACUCGAUUCGACUCGACUCGUUUGCGACCCUACUUCAACCAUACUUAAAUUUCUAUUUUAGUUUUUCAACAUAAAUAGAUAACAUGGCAACUCUAUUCAGCUAGAAUUUUCGUCGUCCUCUCACGUGCCCGGCAUGUGGAUUGGAAGCAUCAUGUUGUUCGCGCAUCGCGCGUUAGCUUCCCAUCUGGUCUCGCCUGCCAGUACCCCAUGUGCCCGUGUUUCCUUCUUUUAGUUCUUCUACUGCAUUUGCUCUCUUCCCGCUGCCUUCUCUCUCCCACUACAUUCUCUCUCUUUCUUUUUUUGGACAAUGUUGCUCUGUCACUUGUCCACAUGCUCUGGAACCUGGUACAAAAGUUUGUUGAGCUAUCCAGUUCUGUCAAAACCAUUGUCUUCUUACCGCCCAAGGAGGUGCCAUCUUCACUGUGGGUCGCAGCGGUCCAGAUCCUUUGCGGUUCGUUUGGUUCUCCUCCUCCUCCUUCGUUGUAAGUUUUCUUCUUCCUAUCCAGUGAGAUGCGAUCUUAGCUGUAGGUUUUCUCUGUACAUUUUAGGCUAAAGUUCAUAUGUUUUGCCCUUUAUCCGGUGAGGUGCAAUCUUCUAUUUUUGCUCUCCGGAGAGGCACAAUCUUAGUUUUGGUGAGUUGUCCGUUUAGAUUUCUUCCGUUCUGCUUGCGCUGUGUUUGGGAACCGUGUGAUCUUGUGGUUAGAAGAACAAGAAAACAAAAAGAAAGAAGUUGUCGAAAGAUUCGGGAGGACCGAACAACAACUUCGACCUUUCCCAGGAAGUGCUAGAAGUACUGCCGCCGGAUCCAUUUGAACGGCUGGAUGUUGCACGCAAAAUCACCUCCACUCUUCCCUCGAAUCAGAGGCAUCUGUUCUCCGUCACAAGCUCACCGAGAAGGACGCCAUCAUCGCCGACCUUCAGUCCCAGCUUCAGUCUCUCGAUGCCCCCUUUUCCGACGCUUCCGACAAACUUACCCUCGCUGACCAAGAAAAUGUCCGAUUCUUAUAACCAACCCGACCCACUUGAACCGUUUUACUUCUCCAAUUACUACUUAUAAGUUAGAGCUAUAGUUUUCUUCUUCUUCUGCUUCAUCGUUCUAAUUAAUUGAAUAGGAGAAAUUGUUGAAGGAGAAUGAGACGCUAUUGAACACUGUGAAAAAGCUUAACCGCGAUGUUGCUAAAGCAAUUGACAGUAUAUAAUGGUAAAUUUUAGUUUUUUCCCCCCUUUGAGGUAAGCUUAUUGCGUGGUAAAAAUUUUGUGGGGAUUGAUUACUUUUACUUGAUUUUAGUUUUUGUAGUUCUUUUCUGCAGCUAAUGUUUGUCAUUUUAAUUUUAAUUUGGUCAUAUGGAAUGUAUACUAUUAUUAUUUUUGGGACUGAAUUUACUGUUUUCAGCUGCUCUUGACUUUUAAUUUUGAUUUUGUUCCUUUAUGAUGCUCACGUUAUUACAACUCUAUUACUAAUACGUGGCCUUAGUGAAUAUAAAAAAAUGGUCCAAAGUUUUUUCUUUUUGGUUUUUUGGGUUGGCAUAAUUCUUAACUUCAAAAAGACUGUGUUAAAAUGACUUCAGAAUUCUGAUGAAUUUUGUUUGAAAGAAAAAUGGCUUUGGUUAGCAAUGUGAUUAAUUACAAGAGGUUAGGAGUUUGUGGGUCAAAAUCGAGGUAAUUUUGUUAUUUGCGAACUUAAUGGAAGAGAAUAUUUUCAUAUGACUGCUUGUAGAGUCGGUAGAUCCAUUGAGCUAAUAAAUCACGCCAUUUUUUUUGGGGUUGCAAAUGAUUACCCAAAAUUUAUCAUUAUUUAAAAGAGAAAUAUAGUUCAAAAUAAAAAAGGUAAAAGAUCCUAGGAGCAGGAAUUCCCACUUCAUAUCAAAUUAAAAUUGGCAUUGAUUCUAAUCUAGAACGUUGUCAAUUAAUCUGCUGUUUCGCCUAUGUUAUUAGAAAACUCUAUGGCUUCGCGCGUCCAAAAAAUGGCAUACUUAUUAUCUUUUAAAGGCUUUUCUGUGUCUUUGUCUUCCUUGUUCGCAUCUGCUGUUUGAUGCUCUGGACAUUUGCGCGUCUGUAACGCUUAGGCUGCAUUUGUGCUGUUUUGGGGCUUAGCCUUUGAUGCAGAGUUUGGUGUUGUAAUGUUUACACGGUAGGCUGCUUUUCUAAAAUACAUUUUUUUUUUACACUUGAUUUUUUUUAAAUUUUUUUGCACCACAUUCUAGCCGUCAUCUUGCAAUAUCUUAUUCUUUAUUACAAUAUCUUUACUUUGCUGUGUGAUUUUUUCGAUAAGCACAGGUAUCAUUAUGCAUAGUUAUUAUAUAUUUGGAGAUACUCAGACAUCAUAUAUCUACUUAAUCUUCUUAUUACAAUCAAAGUGGAUGGUUGCACGAUUAGUAAUUAGUAUGUUACUAUAUUGAGUGAAAAUUUUGAGCUUUUCCAUGUAUGUUGUUUAUCUUAUCCUUGAGCUUUCUUUCAUACAGGAAUUGCUUUGCGUAUCAUCUACUUGUCUGUGGCUGAUGAGGUUGUCAGUUUGAUAAUCUACUUGUAUUAAUUCUGUUUUUUCUUGCAGGUCAUAAAUUUUGAGAUGCCUCAAAGUGCUGCGAGAUAUGUACAUCGAAUUGGACGUACUGGAAGAGCGUAUAACACUGGUGCAUCUGUCUCUCUGGUAAUUUUCUAAAGACUAAGUUGGAAUUACUUUUGUAACUGAAUUUAUUCCCUGACUUCCAGAUUGAAUUUGGCUCAUCUUCAUUUUUUUGCAAGCAGAACUAAUGAACAGUUGGAUUGCUUGAAUAUUGACUGGAAUCUUCGGUAAAUCAUUGGCUCAUAUAUAUCCAUGUUGUAGAAGUUCUAUCAUCUUUCGCAAUCAUGGUUUUGGUUUUCAGUUUUUUCUUUGUGUUUAUUGCAUACUGAAAUAAGCCUUUUGUUUUUUAUAUCAAAUAUUGGAUUGUGCUAUAGGUUUUGCCCUUAUUUUUUGCUGUUCUUUUUUAUAUUAGAAUUCCUAAUAUAUGUUAGCACAUGAAUACUGUCUCCCCUAAUAUGAUUAAAGUGAUUAUGGUAAUGCAUUUAAAAUUAUUGUGAUCAUUUUCUUAUAUGUUUCUUAUCUCCCUCUUACUUUAUCUUGAAUAGGUGUCCCCUGAGGAGAAUGACAUGUUUGAAGAUAUUAAAUCCAUCAUCGGUGAAAGUGAUAACAUGGACUCCAAUUUUAUAGCUCCAUUUCCAUUGCUCACUAAGAAUGCUGUGGAGGGCUUGAGAUAUAGAGCUGAGGUAAAUAUUGCCUUCCUUUACUGCACAGUAAGUUGUAACUUUUUGAACUUAUUAUGCGUUAAGCAUCUCUUUAUGCUUACUUUGCUUCUGUGGUUCUUAAAAAAAACCGUAUGGCGUUUGCCUCGAGAUAUUGAAACUUUUGUGCUGUGUUGCUGUUUUACUCUGUGCUUUUUAGCCUAGAGUUGCUAUGUUGCUAUUUAUACGUACCGCUUCAGUUAGAGCUUUGCUUCUUCGGAUAGGUGUGGGGUUAUGCAUUAUUAUUUUGUUUUGACUCUAAAAAUUAUAUAUUAAUUGCCUUUUGUAAUUAAGCCACCGCACCUAAUUGCCUUAUCUGUUGCCAGCAUAAUUUUUUUUUUUAAACUGAAUUUGGAUGCUUACUGUUGCAUUACCAACUUUUCAAUUCUGUUACACAUUUGGGCUAUACUUUGUUAGUGUUGCAGGGUAUUAGCCUAAACCUCCGGGUUGCUGAUGCUCUUGAUGGAAAGGAAUUGUUGUGCUAUGUUAAAUGUGCUCCUGAUUUCAUUAGAGUAACUGGAAUCAGGUUUACGAUUGUUACGACUUAUUGGGUUGGAGAAACUGCAUAUGUGGCCGUGUAAAAUGUGUCUUUUCCUGAUGUGACAUGCCUCUUUCCGGCAUCAUAUCUACCUUAGAAGUUGCCGAAUUAGUAUUUUCUCUGAAAUAUAUUUUUCCCAUGCUUUCCUUCAAAUAUGUUUUUAUUCUCAGGUUUUUGCUUCAUUAUUAUAUGUACUUUCUGUGGUGAUGAUUCAUGAUUUCAAGCAUGUAUUCGUCACGAUUUACUUGUAAUUGAUGCACAUACAAUUCAAUAAGGAUUUCAAAGGUUAUGUGGCUAUGAAUGAGCAUUUAGCUGAAGUUUGCAUAUUUUGAUUGUGGAACGGAUUGUCCGUGUAAUUUAUUUACCUUACUUUUACUCAACAGAAAGAACUUGCUCAACUUACUUGUGAAUGUGAAAGACAUAUUGGCACACAAUCUGGCGGAAUGGAACAGGUAAUGAUUUUCUGCUCUUUCCUUGCUUGUUCCUUGAAGCUCUGAAGUAGCCUCUGCAAGAUUUCUGCAGAAGCAUAAUUUUUGUUUCCUUUUUUUUGGAUUUACCCUUGUCCUUUGCUUCUCGUGUUUUGUCCUUGUGUUUUGAUCAUAUGUGACUUCUUUGUACAUUUUUUUACAAGUUUUUUGCUGCAAUGGCUCUUGAAUUGACUUGCUUGGUGAAAAUUUUUGUGUUACAUUUUAUGUCCCUAUGAUUUAGUUCUAUCCAUUUGUGAUAUUUCUUUAUGUCUGUUUUCUUGAUCUGAUUGCCUGAUUCGUUUUUCAGUAUUAUUCGUCUUCAUUCCAAUGGGAGCUCAUUGCUCUAAAUUAGGCUUUUGCUGAUGGCCUUCUAACCUCAAAUCCAACAUCGCUUAUUCCUCUGAUUUUGGUAAUUCUUAAAACUCUUUUAAAUGUAUAAAAAUGUAAUAUUUGUUUCCCUUUUCUUAUUUUUUUUUCUUCUGGGGUUUUAGAGCAACGUGGAGAAAAUGAGAGUAUGAAACUGCCAUCAUUUAAAGAAUGCAGUUUAGAUAAGCUGAAGGUGGCGACUGCAGGAUUCUCAGUUGAAUACAUUGUACCAGAACAUGGAGAUAAAGCUCCCAAUGUUGUCUACAAAGGGCAGCUUGGACAUGACGGCUCUUAGAUUGCUAUCAAACAUUUCAAUAAGUUUGCUUGGCUGGAUUCUCGGCAAUUCCUGGUUGUUAUUACCUCUUUUAAGCAAGGCCCCAGCUAUAGUGUUUCACAUAGUACUUAGUUAACCAUGAGUAUGGUGGAUGUUAUUCAGAUUUAAGAUUUGUUGUAUGCAAUUUGUAGGUUGAUAAGUGAGGAAACUUAUUUUAGGUUGAUAUGAAUUGAAACAUUGAUUAUACGGUUGUUAUGCCUUUGUUUAAGGUCAAAUGGGAUGAAGUAUUUGUUACUAUCAAUAAUAUAAAGUCGAUUUCAUUUAUUUUCUUACUUACUUUGGCCCUUACUAUUUUACAUUUUCCUGCUUACAGCCCUAUUAACUCUCCUCUUUCACUUUUCUUUUCCUUUUUUUUUUUCUAAUUUUGAGAAUGAUCUGAGAGCAUGGAAAGAUAGUAAAAUAUAACCCCUAAUGAUGCUUAUAAGUUUUAAGUAGCUACAUUAUUAGGAAAUUAAUUGAACUCGUAAUUAAAUCAUAAUGCAACCUAAUCUUGAAAUAGCAAGGACAGAAGACAACUUAGACGGAGUCUUAAAAUAUUUUGAUUCUUUAAUCAGAAUGAGACUUACUAUUUUUUACAUGAUUACAUACUUAAAUGAAAGUUUACUCUAAUUUUAGUUUAAUAUUUUUUUUGGUUUAUUUGUAACUAAUUCCAUCAAGAAAAACAAAUUUCAUUAAUGAUUCAUUUUGAAUUAGUACAAAUUAUUUUAUUAAAUUGGGCAUCUCCAUCCUUUUUCCCACCGUGCGUAGCACGGUUUAUGCCUCCUAGUUACACGUAAAAGGAGACAUAGCCUCCGUCGUCGAGUCCAAGGUCCAAGCGCCCGGCGACGAUUGAAACGGCAAGACAACCAGGCCCUCCUCUUCCGCAAACUUUCUGACCGCGCGUGGCCUCCUCAGAUCAUUCUUCUUCAUGCUUGUCUUUCUUCCAUCCGCAUCCUUCCGCUGCCUUUGUUUUUUCUCCCACAGUUAAUUGAACAGUCCAAGAAUCAAAAUACAAUAAUCUUUUUAUACUAGCGUUUCCCAGGAAGUCAAAUCACACGCUCAUAGCUCAAUUCUUAUUAAGGGAAAGAGAAGACAAGUAAACCAGAAAAGAGAAAUCAAGAGCCAAGAAUGGGACUCUUCACCUACACCAUAGCCGGAGGCGGUUUCAUCUUGAUCGGUGCUUGGGAAUCGUUCGUGUCUUCCUCUGAAUGUAUCCGAAAUACGCCACCAUCUCCGCCCCUUGCCAGCCAUCGCGCCAUUUCAGGUAUUAACAACAGCAGCACUCAAACGAAAAAGGCCCCUCCUUUUUCAUCAUCGGUAACAUGCUUAUCAAUCUCCGUCCUUUCUUUCCUCUUCAUUCUAAACUCUCUCAUCUCCAUCUCCGACGCCCUCAACUCCAAAGACCACGUCGGUUUCGCCUUCCAGUUAGAGGUAAUCGCAAUCGCGCUCUUUUUUUCCUAUAUUCAACUUUGGGUCUCUUCACGCUUGUCAAGAUUUCGUUUCAAUUUCCUUCAGCGAUCCUCAAUAUGCUGCUUCUUUUCGCUUUCGGCGAAGAAUUUUUGUUCUUUUACGUUAGAAGAAAGGACCCCAGUGGGGUAGAAAACCGAUACUACGAUCUCUUCCUCGUGCCAAUAGGCAUUUGUCUGUUUUGUACUAUUCUCGAACUGAAAAGUCCCAAAUCGAAUUAUGCAAGAUUGGGACGCGGGGUUGGACUGGUUUUACAGGGUAUGUGGAUAGUCCAGAUGGGUUUCUCAUUUUUCUCUGAUUUGAUGAUGGUACAUGGAUGCUCUUUGCACGGGAAGAGUAGAGGAAACUAUACGAUUAAGUGUAAAGGGCACCCUGAGUAUCAUCGUGGUCGAGCGAUCGCUACGCUUCAGUUUAAUUGCCAUCUUGCACUUCUAGUGACUUUGAUUGUUGUGGUGUAUGGAAUUGUCUGCAAGAAGCAUGGGAUUAGGCGUGAUUUGUUGCUGUAUAGGCCGCUUGGACCUGAGAUUGAGCAUCUGGAUGGUCAGCCUCAGUUUACUCUGGAUUCUGAUGAUGAUCUUGAUGAUGCUGAUCAGAAUGGGAUUAAAGAGGUGGGGAGUGUGGAAAUGCAGAAGGCUAUUGUAGCAGUGCCUGCAUCAGAAGUCAAUGGUUAUGGUACUCAUUGACGAGGUAGAUAUUUGGAUCUUAGUUUUGUUAAGUGAAUAGCUUAGAUUAGCUCAUUUGUUAAAUUGUUUGUGACAUAGAAUUUGGAUAAAUGCAAUGAGGGAAUUUUUUUUUUUUUGGGGUUAGCUGGUGAAGAGGAUAUUGAUCUGCAUUGUGAGUGCUGUUAUAAUUUUUCUUAAAGUUGCAAUUAUAGUAUUUCACGACAUUUUGGCUCUUGUUUGUCUUUAUGUUAUUGUCGUAAACCAUGAAUUGACUCGAAGAAUUGCAAUGAUUGUUUGAUGUUUGUCUUUAUGUUAUUGUCGUAAACCAUGAAUUGACUCGAAGACUUGCAAUGAUUGUUUGAUGUUCCUGAUUAUCAGCCAUGAUGAAUCUUUUAUAGCGGUUUAUUAUGAUUUAUUCGUGGUUCCUGCUAAUCGCAGAAUUUGUGAUUCGGUUUGUGAUCUGUGGCAAUAAUGUCACCUUUUGAAGGACUUCCACUUCAGUGAUAAGGGUGGAAGGAGAAAAGAUCAUCAGUUAGUAACAUCUGAAUGUACUUGAGUGGCAAAUAUGCAAUCGGUUACUUUGAAGACUAGUAGAAUUAGGUCUGCUCAAUCAGACAACAUAUUAAAUGUACUUAGCUCAUAUUUUCAUAUGUAAUUCCUCGUCUUACUUGUCCUUCUUACACUGAGCAGCUCAAAGAAUGAAGAGCAAAAGAGUGCAAAAUCAUUAUCAUUGAGUUUCUCAAGCAUUCGCAAGGGUGGCAAAGGGGUGAUGGAAGGUUCUAAAGGUGCUCAAAACAAGAAGUAGCUUGGAAUCUGGUCAUCACUUUGGCUGUAGAGACUAGAGAGAUAGACUCAUCAAUUAUCAGCAUUAGGAAGACCUGCUGGAAUCUGCUGUUAGGUGAUGUCAAAGUUGCUAAACCCUUGAUAUGAUGAACCAAGUUUAUUUGGGAUGGUAGCAUUAGUUGGACGCCAAGCGCAUCCUUGACUAGUCUGCGCUGUGUUUCAUUUUGCUCUCUUUGAUGGUACACUGUUCAUCUCCGCCUCACUUGGUAGACAAGAGUAGAUCAGGAUACAUAUUUCUAAACUUAUGCCCUCUUGCAUAUAGCAUUGUGGGUUGCACAGCUGGAGCUAUUGGCUAGAUAACGAACAAAAUGUCUUUAUGUUUCAUGUUUAUAAGGAUUCACGAUGUGCAUAUUUAGACAUCAGUAUCGGAUAUUUUUUUUUUUUUUCGGGGUGAUCAGAAAACUGAAUCUCAUCUCAUUAUUCGUGUCAGAAUAGUAGCUCAUGUUUUGCUAAUACUGGUGGAAAAAGUUUACUACUUAGAUUGGAUAUAUCUUGGCUCACCUUUAGGAAAUUUGUUUGAAAUUAGCAAUUUCUUCUUGGACACCAAUACUUCAUAUAUGGGAUGAUAUGGCAAGAGAUCAGUGAGUUUGGCUGCGCUGAUUUAGCGGGGGUUUCAGUUUAUUUCCUUGUAUGUCAGUUCGUUGUUCCAAAUGUUCUCCAAGUAUCUUUGCAUUGUGCCGCACUUGAUUGCUAUAUGUCCAUUUUACAAGCUGUGAGGCGUAAGGCGUUACAGGUCUACCCUGUUUGGGAAAUGAAACAGGAGGAAGAUUCCGCCAUCCUAUUUUGGGGCCUUGGAAGCUUGGGCGGUGGUAAUUGAUGCCGUCUCAAAAUCAGUGUUUGUCCUUGCGUGUAAAACGCUUAGUUCAAUGUGGUGGUGCCGAUUAAAGAACAGAACAAUGACGGAUAACCAUCAUAUGUUUGUGAAAAUUGAAUAGAGAAUAGAAAGAAUUAUGAGGUCCUAUAAAAGAGUACCGAACAAUGACAGAUAACCAUAAUAUGAAUGCAAAAAUUUAAAAGAGAGUAGAAAGAUCUAUGAAAGAGUAGCACACUGUUUGGAUUGCAAGUUUUGAGAGUUUUUUUUUUUUAAGAAAAAUUUGUAUAGUGAUUUGAUAUAUAUGAAUAAAAAAUAUAUUCACGGAGGAAAAGAAGUAGUACUUGUGUAAGAUAGGAUAGGUAACCAUGAAGUAUGUAAAGCUAGCUACUGUUGCCUUACGUAAUAAAUUAUUACUCCAUCUCCAUUGAUCAACGAUCAGGAUGGAAGUUUGAAGAUAUAUUGGAGCAGUCUUAUUUUCAUCUCCCAUGGCAGAAACACUUUUUUGACUUCUCCAAGAAUAAUAAGUUGGCCUUUGGGAUAAUAGGUAAAUCGAGGAGACAUAUUACAUAUACAACGAAAAGGAGCACACUACUGAGUACUGACUGAAUACAACUUCUUCGUUUGAUACAAUGCGAACUUGGCUACAACUGAGCUGACCGGUCAUAUUCUACUUUUAUGGAAUCUAAAGAAAAUUACAAAUCCCACGAAGCUUACAGAAUCGAGUAUGGCUAGCAGCCAGUAGUAGCUGUCUAGACGGGAAUUUCUCAUGUCAUCAUUGAACCAACUGUUUUCUCUUCCACCGGAACUCGUGAAGCAUUCAACGAGAGAUAUAAGGAGGGCGCUUAAGAAGCUUCCUACCCCGAAGACGCUGGUAUACAGAGCUAUACCCAUUGUUCUAAAUCUGAGAGGAACCUCAGAAUAGAAGAACUCUUGCAUGCCUACGACCGUGAAUAUAUCAGAAAUGCCCAACAAAAUGUAUUGAGGAAGCAGCCAAAAGAUGCUCAAUGGUACGGUUUCAGACAGCAGAUCGGAAGCUACCAUUUGUCUGCUCAGCUCAAGCCUCUUCCUUUCAGUUAAAGCAGCAAUCACCAUGGCUAUCACCGACAAAAACAUUCCAAUUCCCAUCCUCUGUAUCACGCUGAUUCCUUUCUCAUUUUGAGUGAGGAUUCGGGUUAAGGGUAUGAAGAGGAUGUCAUACAAAGGCAUCAAGAGGAUAAUAGAGACGGUUAUUGCACUUUGAAGUGCUGCUGGUGGGAUCUUGAAUUUGCUGCCGAUGUUCCUCUUCAUCGUCAUGCCUUGUUUGGUAAAGAAUGUUGGAGGUUGCUGAAAAAUCACAGCAAACAUCAGAAGCAUGGUCCAAACUGGCAGCAGAGGCAGCACCAUUUUUGCAAUUUGAACAAGAUGAUUCUCAUUCUCAGAUUUCUCAUACAAGCCUUCCAUUCCUUCAGGAUCUGCGUCAAAGAGUGGUUUCUCCUGGAGUCUACAAGGACAACACCCGGUCGUUAGUACUUUGUAGAAUUGCUAGUAUCAUGCAACUGUAAAAUAGAGAGACGCUUACUCUAGCUCGGCCACAUCUGAGUUUCUAUCCAAAUCAAUCUUGCCGCAGAACAUCCUCGAUAGAGUUGUUUUGACUGUUUGUGUCAUGUUUUCCGUCGACUUGUUAUCGACAUUCUUGGCCUUCUUAUGCUUAUAAAACCGGUUCCCCAAUAAAAAUAUUGCAAUGGACGCUAGAAAUGAAAUUGCAGGGAUGGCAAAUCCCAAUCCCCAUCCCAGAGUAUCUUGGAUAUAUGACAUGAGGGAGACUCCAAGCAAGCUGCCACAACAGAUGCCGAAGUACCACCACUGGAAAAAUAAUCUCCUCUUAUCAGAACUGUGGUCAGUUUUGUUGCUAGGUAAUUCAUCCCCAUCGUCCAGCUGAUCAGCUCCAAAGGCUUGCAAGGAAGGGUUAUACCCACCUUGGCCUAGUGAAAUCAGAUAGAGAGACCAGUGAAGGAGUGCCGAGGAGCUAACUUUGCCGAUCGGAAUCAAAAGCCAUCCCAGCGCCGUAGACGCUAACAUUACGAGUCCCUGGGCAAACGAAACGAAAGAUUACGGUCGUCGUCUCAUAUGCCAUACGCCAAAUUCUAAGUUAUACUAACAACAUUGGCACCGCUGGCUUUUAGUUACAUUUCCAUUCAAAUUCUCUAGAUUUUAAACAUAAUUGAAUGAAAAACCAGACUACGUUAAAGCUGCAGCAGAUUCAAAAAUUUUGACAAUGCUUCUCAUCAAUCAAUACACUACAAGUAAAUCGCCACAUCAAUGGUACAUUAAACUACUAGAUAGUAGCACCAAUUUUUUUUUUUUUUUUAAUAGCAAAAAAGCAAUUUCACUUGGCAAAAGAAGUGGGAAAUGACUCGGGUUCCAUUUACCUUUGUGGAUACACACCUUAGCAGGUAUCCCACCAUUUCCACAUCAAAUUCCACUAAAUAAUUAGCAAUGGAUACACAAAAAACAACAGGAGAAAAGAAGCAACAAGCAUCUGAAUUCGUAACGCAACAGCCCAAUAUUAAGCUUCGUAGGGGCCAAACCAAACACAAGGAGUGAAAGGGAAAGGGAAAGGGAAAGUUGAGAGACUUUACCAAAGCAUAGAGCAAGGCAGCAGAUUGUACGGUGGUAUACCGGUCCCAGUAAGAGUCAGCAAGCGGAGCCACUACCAGCGGCACCAUAGACGUAAAACCGCACCAACUGUUAACCAUCUUCGCCGCCGACGAGUUGCUCAUUUUAACAACAUCAGUAAGAUAAGUCACCAAAUUGGACGCCACACCCUUGAAUGCAAACCUCUCCACGCCAGCUAUGACUGGUGAGAACGUUUCAAGUACUUGUAAAUAUUCACAGGCCCAGCGUAUAAAUCGUGGUGCAUUUUUAAUAAUACCGGUAGCCGGAUUGUUUCUUUAAAGAAAAACCAGAAAGAACAAGGAAAAAAAAGUGAACAUGCAGAUGAAAAACUACGUACCAAUGAGAAGUACAAUGGGCUUAUUGAGUCCUGCGGUUAGUCUGUGUCCUCCGGCCAUGAGUGUCAGAGUCGAAUGGGAAAACGAAGCUGGGAACUGGUUCUAGACUCUGGAAAAAGUAUCAACCCGGAAAAAAAUGAUGAAAUAGAGAGGCGUGGGAGAAUUGAGAGGAUAACUUGUUUGUUUCUUGUUUCUUUCAAAUUCUCAGUGUUUCAGUAAGCACGCAUGAAAGGGGCAAUAGAAGUUUAGAGGAAUCACUUAAGAAGUUGAGACUAUAUACUAGUGUUCUUGUUGGGUUCCACCAGUGCAUGUUGGAAACUACUAUAUACAACUUUGUCGUUAAAUGGGUGGUUAAUGGAAUACAGGACGAUCACUAUAAAUGAGCUCCCUAGCUUACAAGGCUGAAGGUUACAGCAAGAACGGAAAAAAAAUUUUAGUUGGCUGCCUCGUCACGGCGGUCCUAUUUGCCCAAGAAUAUAACACUAGCACCAGUACAUUAGUAUGUCCUCGUGCAGCAGGCACUAUACAUUCCUCCUUCAAAAGCACGCCACGCCUGAAACUGAAUGCUUGGUCACUCACUUGGACUCUUCGCACAUCUGCCGCGUAGGCAACUUAAUUAGCCUUUUGCAUGAUGAUGAUUUGCCAAUUAUAUUGGAGUUGAAAAAACAAAUUAUCGCGAAAAGCUCCAACACAAUAACCAACUUUAUAAGAUUAUCCUCUACCAUUUACCAAUGACCAACCAUUCCUCCAGCUUUAUUUCACCACUAAAACUAAGACGUAAGAUCCAUUUGAAAGAAUGAUUGGCUUGACGGGAUACGUAAGAUCCUUUUUCUUUCUUUCUUUCCUUCUUUUUCUUCCGUAUACAACCUAACCAGCAUAUUAAUUUCCAGCACGUCCGAGCGUUAUGGAAUUUGUAACUGGCUUCUUCUGCCCACGCGAAGGAACGAGGGUAUCUGUCUCGGCUCACGGUCAUCUCGUGCUUCGAAUUUGACGUUUGCUGGAUCAAUUUAGCUCUGAGAAUCUGAUUACAGACGACAACAUACACUCAUAGGGGUACGUAUAUAUUUGUGUGUCACCUUUUUCUGUGGGCAGAACUGAUUCAGACGACCAAAAAAGCAAUGAAAGUGGCGAAACUCCUGUAGUCUGGUCUAUAUACUUGGCUCGGCCUGAUGAACCAAUUACGUCGUGUCAUAGUGAUGCUACUUACACUCCUGACGAUCGAUAAUGCAGAUGCAGGUGCGAUGACUCUGUCAAAAACAUCUAAAGUCGGAACAGGAGAGACCCGCUGAUCUACGUACGGAGCCAUAUGGUAUUGAUCACUAUCCAUACAUAAUUGAUUAAAAAGAAAAAAAAAAAAAAGCACUAAUGCUCCUGUCCUGCUCCAUAAAACGGCUGUUUAUUGCAAUUACCUUUUGCGUCACAAAUCCAAGACGUCAAUCGGGGCCAUGCACCAAUCAGUGAGUCUUUUCUGCACCUUCCCCGCUCCUGCUGCUCUUUUGUGAUAUACUGACAUGGAAACCACUCCCUUAUUUCACUCCUCCUACCAUAUGGAAUUGACCAGCCCAAUAUUUAACAUAUGCAUAUGGGAUCCAUAGCUGCUAAAUACUGACACGCGGCCUCCAACAUAAUUGGGACAUUGUUAUCUCUUCCAGGUUCUGGACGCCAUUUUGGUUUAAGCGUCCCGGUCUGCUAGCUACCUAGCUACAUUUGGCGUGUACCUAUCUGCAUGCACUAAAAUUAUGAGACGAUACUCUCAAAACCGAACCAACUGGGGAACAGGCUUUCUUGUGCUCUGUCGUACAUAGAGGUACUAUUGAGCCGAGUCGAGCUCGAGCUCAAUCAAAAUUUGUGCUACUCGAGCUCGAUCGAGUAAAAAAUUUGGACUCGAGCUCGACUCGAUGAAAUAAAACUAAACUCGAACUCGAUUCGGUUGAGCUCGAGUAAGCUCGAAUAAAUAUCAAGCCCGAGCUACUCGAGCCAAAAUUUGUAUCUCAAGCCGACAUAGUUCUACACAAAAGCCCCGAUAGCCAUAUCCACUCGCCAGUUGCCCGCUUCAAAUUAAUUAACUCUGUUUUGGCAGAGUGGGGCCCGGCCUUCUUCAAUCUGCACAAAAUCUGUUAUGGAACGGAAAUUGGAAAUUGGUUGGUUUUUGUAUUUAACAAAAAUUAAAUAUUUGAGAGCACAAAGAUUUGUAUUUACUCUCAAAUAUUUAAUUUUUGUUAAAUACAAAACUUAUCAGUUUUCAUUCCGUAAAAAUAUUAAUGUAACACUUUUUCUUUUUUAGUUACAAAUAUUUAUGUAUUUAAUAUAAAUUAAAUGAUUCAGAAUAAAAUAUUCAUAAAAAGUCAAUACUUUACUCGUAUAAUGGAUGAAAACUAUAAAGAAUUAAUACUUUAUGGGUCAUUUUUUUUAAAUAUUUAAUUAUAUUAAAUAGAUAACCUACCGAUUUCCUUUUUGUAAGAAUAUUACUGUAACACUUUUUGAAUUUUACUUACAAACAUUGACAUAUUUAUCAUAAAUUAAAUAUUUGAAAAUAAAAUAUUCAUAAAGAGCCGGUACUUUAAAUGGGUAAUGCAUAUCUGCCCAUAAACUACACUGUUUAAAGUUUAUUAAUUGUUAAUUGAUUUGUAGUACUUUAUUAUUCGUUGGACAUAUAGCACAAAUGGCCAGUAUGGUAUAAAAUUAUAAUUUGACUCCCUAAAACAAUAUUUUAAUCGUUUGGACUGAAUUUGCAAAAGAUUAGUAGGUUCAGAGAAGGUCAGUACUAUUUUUCAAACUAUAGGGGAGGUCAGUGCAAGUGUCAGAAACCUCAGGGGAGGUUUCUGCAAUUAUCCCUUCUUUUCAAUGAAAGCCUUCUGCAGUCUUGAUUCUUGAACCCCUCGGAUUGAACUGUUCAAUUCCAAUCUCGAGUACUAGAUCGAACUUUGCAUUUGUCCAGAGAUCGGAAAUAGGUGAAAAAAGGCCCCUCCGAUCAUGGCAGAGCACCACCACCACCACAACCACCACCAUCACCGCCCGAGCCGGCUCUCGCUUCCACCACGCACCACUGUUCCUCACACUACGCCAACCACCUCAAGACCCACACCGUAUCAAGGAUUCCCCUUCCCGCCGGCGACUCCCACCCCAACCCCCUCCAAACACCGCCUGUCCUCUCUCUCCACCAAGACUUCGAGCUCUAAAACCUCUCUCUCCUUCCUCUUCCUCCUUUUCUCCCUUCGCUCCCUCUACUCUCUCCUCCCAUUCCUUCGUUCCUCCCCUUCCUCUUUCUCCAUCUUCCCCUUCUCUUUCUUAGUCUCUCUCCUCUCUUUCCUCCUCACACUCUCUUUCCCUCUCUUCAUUUCCCUAUCUUCUUCUUCCUUUAGAGAUCAUUUUCAUCAAAAACAACGCCAGCCCAUUUUCUCUUUCACCUCCAUUACUCAAUCCCAGUAUAGACUUCUGGUUGCUAAAUCACUCCUCCUAGCCGUAAUAUUCCUCCUCCGUUUCCAAGCCCUCCGUUACUGCGGUACAGCUGCGUUGAUUCUUGCUGAAUUGUCCGGAAAUGUAGCUGCGCGUUUCAUUGCUGAGGGUAAAAAUCGCAACUUUAUUGGUAAAACUCAAAUUGGCAUGUCUAAGGUUCGUGGCUUUAUUGCCUUGUUUUCUGGGUUGUUUUUGUUAUCUAUUAGUUGGGAUCGUCUUGACUGCUUCCCUUUCUCUUCUAUCAACGUUCACAAAUUUGGAUUGUCAUUUUUUCCUGGUCAGAAUUGUAUUAGAAUUUGGCCGAUGUUGCUUCCGUUCUUGUCUGGGUUUUUAGGGUGUUAUGAGCGGGUUUCGAUGAACUGGGGUACUGUUAGGCAACUGGGGCCAAAACGGGUUCGGUUGCUUUCACUGUUUUUCACAACUGUUGUGCUUUUCGUACCUGCUGUGAUCAGUAUGUUUAUAUUCGAAGUUGAAGGAGAUAGCAUUUCCAUUGCAAAUCUUGGUUGGCCUCUGGCCAAUACAGUUGUGUUUGGAGUGCUUUUGAGUGAGAAUUACACUGAUGAGAAAGUUGCUGCUUCCAAAGAUUUUCAGAGGGAGUAUCUUGUCACUUUUGUUUGUACAGUUAUUUUGGAGUUGUUCUAUUUUCCAGAGCUUUCCCUUUGGGGUUUACUGAUUUGUGGAUUGUUGCUGUGGGUUUCUGUGAGCGAAUUGGAUCCUGUUCAUCCUAAUUAUAUUGAAUUAGGUGUUGAAUCAUCGGACUCAUUCGCCAUGUCUAUUAUGAAGCCCAUUCGCCACAUUUUGAGUGAAAGAAAGUCACGCAAGAUUGCUCUUUUCCUGUUGAUAAAUGCUGCUUACAUGGUUAUAGAAUUUGUGGCGGGUUUCAUGAGUAACAGUCUUGGGUUGAUAUCAGAUGCAUGUCACAUGUUGUUUGACUGUGCUGCCCUUGUGAUUGGCUUGUAUGCAUCGUACAUUUCACGCCUCCCAGCAAAUGGUCAGUUCAACUAUGGUCGUGGAAGAUUCGAGGUUCUUUCAGGAUAUGUGAAUGCUGUCUUUCUGGUUCUUGUAGGAGCUCUAAUUGUGCUGGAGUCAUUUGAGAGGAUCUUGGAUCCUCAAGAGAUCUCUACAAACAGCUUGUUGGCAGUGUCUGUUGGAGGGCUGCUUGUCAAUGUAGUGGGAUUGAUCUUUUUUCAUGAGGAGCAUCAUCAUGCGCAUGGUGGUUCUGGAACAUGUACCCACUCACAUUCCCAUUCGCACUCAAAUUCCCGCUCUGAUUCUCAUUCCCAUCACAGCCACCACCACCAUUCACAUGACCAUAAAUGCCAAAUUCAGCACAAAACUCACGAGUGUGUUCCUGUUGUCCACAACAGCCAUGUGAAACCUUGCUCUGGUGAUGCGGAACACCAUGUUGGUCAUCACAAGCACCAUGAUUGUGAUAAUCACCAGAAAAGUGACAAGAAAGAAGGUGAAGAAUGUGGAACAAUGCAGUGCGACAGUCAUGAUGAUCACCAUCGUUAUGAUCAUGGUGCUGGCACGCUAAUCUGUGAUGGUUCAUUGAGUGUGAAUGGUCAAUCUCAUGGAAGUCAUGCUGGUCAGAGUGUGCAUGUCUUAGGGGACUUGCAUAGUCAUGAUCAUUCACACUUGGAGGAACUUAACAGGAAGCAGCAACACCACCAUCAUAUUGACCAUAACAUGGAAGGCAUCUUCUUGCAUGUUUUAGCAGACACCAUGGGAAGUGUCGGUGUGGUUGUUGCCACACUCUUAAUUAAGUAUAAAGGAUGGCUCGUUGCAGACCCUGCCUGCUCUAUCUUUAUAUCUGUACUGAUUAUAUCUUCUGUGAUUCCAUUGCUUAGAAAUUCUGCUGAAAUCUUGCUGCAAAGAGUUCCAAGAGCUCUUGAGCAGGAUCUCAGACAAGCAGUAAAUGAUGCUAUGAAGGUGGAUGGUGUGCGUGGAAUUCAGAAUCUGCACUUUUGGAGUCUGACGAACACUGAUGUUGUUGGGACCCUCCAUCUUCACAUAUCAACGGAGGCAAGUAAAGCUUCUGCAAAGGCUCAAGUGUCUCACGUAUUAGAGGAUGCUGGGAUCAAGGAUUUAACAUUGCAGGUGGAAUGUGUUAAAUGAGUAGUAUUCGACGAAAAAUGCUUUUACCAAUGAACAUCUUGCUGACGUCUUCAGAGAUGGCUUUUUGAGUUUGCGGCAACAAGCAGGCAUGAGAUUGGAAAUAUUGCCAUUACUGAUUCACCGGGGUACAGCACUUUCAUAUUCUAAGUUUUUACCUUGUCCUCUCUUUUUUUUUUUCAAUAGCUUUUGUAACAUUUUUUUCCAUCUGUCAACCAUCUGUCAAAUGCUGUAAUAACAAGCAAGUAAUUGUACUGAAUAUUUUUAGGGGGCUUGGAGUUUAAUCUGGCAGAAACACAGGUGGCUGGUACGAAGCAAGUAUCCUUUCAAAGCUGGAAGGCUGCAAAAGGAGGAUUAUCCAAUUUUGAGGCACCCAAGCUGAUAGGUUUAGUUAGUUUUUGUCAGUUUCUAGGACGAAUUUUGGUUUUUUCCAAGAACAAGCAACAUCAGUGAGUGUGCUGACAGCAGAAAUGCCAGUUGUCGGAAAGGCAGCUGCUUUGAUUGCAGGGAUGAAUAUCCCAACUAACAAGAGAUACAAAGCAAACUGAGAUGCCCAUAUGCUAGUAUGAUUAUUUAUUCGUGUUAGAUGAAUCAUUUCUCUGUUAACAUUUCAAAAUUUAAAGGGUAGAAAUGUGAAACGAUUGAAAUUAGCUGAUUGACAAGCGUAUGGAUUGUUAUCGUUAGGGGAAAAAAAAAAAACAAGCGUAUGGGCCGGUAUUUCUUAAUGCCACACUAGGACUGAAGAAUCAUAAUGGGAAUAAGGGGAAAACAAAAAAAAAUCGUCCACAGUCCCACGAUCGAACAGUCCCUGCCCUCCGAACUUCCAAGUUCCACCUCAAUUUAAUACCGCCGUUGCAAUUGAAAUCUGUGUCGGGUGUGAGGGUGGCGCAGAUAUGGGGAGCUCGGAGGAGAAGGUGGUAGCUGUUAUCAUGUCGGCGGACCCACUAAAGGUCUGGUCUGUUCAACCAACCAUUAGUAUCGACUUCCGAUUACCACCAUCUUUCUCACUUUCCUUGCUUAGAAAUGGACCGCUACAUGUUUGUGAAUUGCCUUUCCUGGUUGAAAUUUGAGCAUAAUUUAUAGUAACUGUGCGUAUCCCUCCUUGUUUCUUUGACAAAAAAUGUUGCAGGCACUCGAUUUCGGCCACUUUCUUUUAAUACUCCCAAGCCUCUUUUCCCUUUGGCUGGCCAGCCCAUGGUUCACCAUCAUAUUUUCUGCUUGUAAAAGGGUAUGCCUUUUGAUUGUCGUUUUUGAGUAGAAUUCCAUCCUGAAAAGGACUACUGGAAGAAGAAGAAGAAGAUAUCGGUAUCUUUCCGUUGUGAUUCAGCAUUAGAAUUCGACCGUGCUGUUUGUGCAGAUCAAGAACUUGGCACAAAUAUUUCUGAUCGGUUUUUACGAGGAGAGAGAAUUUGCUUUAUACGUCUCUUCAAUCUCCAGUGAGCUUAGAGUCUCUGUCAUCAGGCGAACUUUGGCCGUUUGGUUUCUACUAAUACUCGAUUCCAUGCUUUCUUCUUUCCCUUUUUCUUUGUUUUGGCUGCCUAACUUUCCCAAGUUUCCAGUACAAAACUUGAGCAUUGAAUCUGAGAGUGGUUUUCUGUCCUUUUAUAAAAAUUAUUUUGUAGAUAUUUGAAAGAAGACGGGCCUCAUGGUUCGGCGGGGGACCUUUAUUACUUUAGAGAUCUCAUGAUGGAAGAUUCUCCUGUGUGUCAUCCCAUUGCGCAUAGUUCUUAUUUAUUUGACCACCUUAAUGAUUUUGCUUUCGUCUUACAAUAGUCGACCGAGGGAGCAUAUGGUCGUGUUGUUUCUCCUUGGUGAUGAAGAACCACACUAUUAGCUUUUGGUAUCGAUAUCCACUUUUUCUUUUUUUUCCUUUUUUUUUGGGAAGCGUUUACGUGUUUUUUGCAAUGUUUUGAAAAUCGAAUCGAAUCGACCGGUUUGAUCGAUUGAACCGCGAAUCGACAAUGACAUCAGUCCGAUUCAAUGUCAUAGUUGACUUUGUCAAAAAAUCAUGUGUGUGAUACCAUCUUUGUACAGCUUAUUUGUUUUAUUUUCUCAUACUGAUAGAAGCCCUCUGGCACGUCUAUUAAUCUGACAUUUGCUUUUAUGAUCGAAUUGUAGAAAUCAAGGUAGUUAUGAUCGAAUUGUAGUAUGAAAGUUGCAGUAUAUACCACACAGUUGUCUUGCACCCUAAUGUUGGAUCGAAGUCAUCUCUUGGGAAGUGGUCUCGCCGCCCUGGUAUUCUCUCCAUUUUUCUUGUUUAUUUAUUUUUUUAGCAAAGGAAGUCCGGAGAGGGCAGGGAAUUUGAACCCAGGACCUCUAAUUCUUAGGUUUCAAUCUUAGCCACUAGAUCAACGAGGCCUCCUUGGCAGGUAUUGUUUUUUGCUUUUUCAUGGUUCAGGUAAUUUAUUCACUUAAUUAAUGAAGUGCAUGUAUAGUUUUCCUCCAUGUGGUGUAGUUCCCUCAAGAGUUUCAGAUUUGUCAAACUCCAAAAAUUUCAAGUAUUCCAUAAUUCAUAAUGUUGGAGGAAGAAGAUUAGGAUAUCAUGAAUUCUGAUUGCGUCUGCCUGUUUGGUCAUCCAUGUAAGUUGGCGUGACAUACAACGCAUAAUAAACAGUUAAAUAUAUAUAAAGAUAUAUAUAUAUAUAUCUUCAAUCCCAUGAUCUCUUAUACAGGGGAAGCUGUGACUGUUGAAGAUGAGGUUGUGGUGAUCAACUCCAUCGUUCUUCCUCACAGGACACUUAAUAUGAGCGUGCAGGAAGAAAUCAUUCUGUGAGAUAAUCAAGCUGCAUUUUGGAAGCUCCAUUUUGCAUUAUACUUCUUGGAUUUUAUGUCAUAACUGCUCUUAUACCAAAAGUAAAUUGCAAUGCUAAUCGAUAGAGCACUCAGAAAGUAAAAAUUAUAGAUUCCAUGUUGUAUACUGCUACCUCCCGCACCCUAUUUAAUAAUCUGAAUGCUUCUUGUAUAUCGUCAUUGUGUAACCUGCAAAUGUGCUACUUUCCUUUUGGCCUUUUUUUUAUACGAAACAAAUACCUAGAGAGAGCUGUCUUAUGGACAAAGAUAAGAGUGGAUCACCAACUGGUCGAAUCUUAUUGUAGAGGCUGAAGUCUAGUCUGAGUAUAGUGCCAAUAUCAAGUGUAAGUGGUAAUCGGAUUGCAAAAUGAAAGACAGAUUGGAUUUCAGACCGGGCAAUUUAUUACACAAGGGAAGUGGAAAAUGGGAUGACAAAAUGAAAUCGAUGCGCCCAAAACCAAUCACAGAAACUGAUUUUACCAGGGAAUAAACAAAAGGAAUGGUGCACAAAGUUGCUCGUUGCCUGUUCACGGCCGUGGCAAGAUGAGUGCAACAGUGAUUGUCACGCUUCACCCCCGAGUGACAAACUAAGCCAUUGAUCUCAAAAUUUCAAACAGAAAAAGCCGUGCAGUUGCAGGAGGAAUGUUUUAUAACCAGAAAACAGAGCUUUGGAAGGAUCAAAGCUUUGGUCCCUGCUUCAGUGAUAUAAUCAUACAAGUGUAACAAACUUAACAGUACAUCACCAAUUUUUAUAAGAUGUCUUACAGCGAGAUGUUUAUCCAUAUGAUAUUACCAAAUCUAUCCAAUAUGGAACUGCAUGUAAAACUUUUAACCCUAUCAAAACUUCGGUUUAUGAUAUUCUGACUUUUGUGGAAGACAUAAUUGCACUGCCCCAAUUCUUCCAGCUGAUGUAAUCUACACAUCAGCUCUGUAGCAUAGACGCAAUCUGAGUACUAU
RNAcentral lists this long non-coding RNA (35931 nucleotides) under Coffea arabica (coffee). RNAcentral's name for it is "long non-coding RNA (CARA_LNC004830)". Lineage: Eukaryota; Viridiplantae; Streptophyta; Magnoliopsida; Gentianales; Rubiaceae. The record is from RNAcentral.